This 72-nucleotide transfer RNA is filed under the name Candidatus Moraniibacteriota bacterium. RNAcentral's name for it is "Candidatus Moranbacteria bacterium tRNA-Glu". It matches the Rfam family "tRNA". Rfam says of the family: Transfer RNA (tRNA) molecules are approximately 80 nucleotides in length. Their secondary structure includes four short double-helical elements and three loops (D, anti-codon, and T loops). Lineage: Bacteria; Candidatus Moraniibacteriota. RNAcentral also lists the same sequence under 1 other name. The record is from RNAcentral.
GGUCCGGUCGUCUAGUGGUUAGGACGCCAGGUUUUCAUCCUGGUAACCGGGGUUCGAUUCCCCGUCGGACUA